GGCCAAGUGAGCUUUUCUCACCACUUGGCGUCCGUCGUCCGUCGUCGUCGUCCAUCGUCGUCGUCGUUAACAAUUUACAUUUUGAACUUCUUCUAGAGAACCACUGAAUGGAAUGGAACCAAACAUGGCAUGAAUGUUCCUUAUGAGGUGCUGACCAAGUGUUGUUACUUUGUAGCCGAUCCAUCAUCCAAGAUGGCCGCCAGCGGGGGACUUAGUUUAACAUAGGACCCUAUGGGAAAUGCAUACAAAUGACUUCUUUUAGAGAACCACUGAAUGGAAUGAAACCAAACAUGGCAUGAAUGUUCCUUAUGAGGUACUGACCAAGUGUUGUUACUUUGUUGCCGAUCCAUCAUCCAAGAUGGCUGCUAGCCGGGGACUUAGUUUAACAUAGGACCCUAUGGGAAAUGCAUACAAAUGACUUCUUUUAGAGAACCACUAAAUGGAAUAAAACCAAACAUAGCAUGAAUGUUCCUUAUGGGGUGCUGACCAAGUGUUGUUACUUUGUAGCCGAUCCAUCAUCCAAGAUGGCCGCCAGCAGGGGACUUAGUUUAACAUAGGACCCUAUGGGAAAUGCAUACAAAUGACUUCUUUUAGAGAACCACUGAAUUGAAUGAAACCAAACAUGGCAUGAAUGUUCCUUAUGAGGUGCUGACCAAGUCUUGUUACUUUGUUGCCGAUCCAUCAUCCAAGAUGGCCGCCAGCGGGGGACUUAGUUUAACAUAGGACCCUAUGGGAAAUGCAUACAAAUGACUUCCUCUAGAGAACCACUGAAUGGAAUGAAACCAAACAUGGCAUGAAUGUUCCUUAUGAGGUGCUGACCAAGUGUUGUUACUUUGUAGCCGAUCCAUCAUCCAAGAUGGCCGCCAGCCGGGAACUUAGUUUAACAUUAUGACCCUAUGGGAAAUGCAUACAAAAGACUUCUUUUAGAGAACCACUGAAUGGAAUAAAACCAAACAUAGCAUGAAUGUUCCUUAUGGGGUGCUGACCAAGUGUUGUUACUUUGUAGCCGAUCCAUCAUCCAAGAAUGGCCGCCAGCGGGGGACUUAGUUUAACAUAGGACCCUAAGGGAAAUGCAUACAAAUGACUUCUUCUAGAGAACCACUAAAUGGAAUGAAACCAAACAUAGCAUGAAUGUUCCUUAUGGAGUGCUGACCAAGUGUUGUUACUUUGUAGCCGAUCCAUCAUCCAAGAUGGCCGCCAGCGGGGGACUUAGUUUAACAUAGGACCCUAUGGGAAAUGCAUACAAAUGACUUCUUCUAGAGAACCACUAAAUGGAAUGAAACCAAACAUAGCAUGAAUGUUCCUUAUGCCGUGCUGACCAUGUUUUGUUUCUUUGUAGCCCAUCCAUCAUCCAAGAUGGCCGCCAGCAUGGGACUUCGUUUAACAUAGGACCCUUUGGGAAAUGCAUACAAAUGACUUCUUUUAGAGAACCACUGAAUGGAAUGAAAUCAAACAUGGCAUGAAUGUUCCUAAUGUGGUGCUGACCAAGUGUUGUUACUUUGUAGCCGAUCCAUUAUCCAAGAUGGCCGCCAGCAGGGACUUAGUUUAACAUAGGACCCUAUUGGAAAUGCAUACAAAUGACUUCUUUUAGAGAACCACUGAAUGGAAUAAAACUAAACAUUGCAUGAAUGUUCCUUAUGAGGUGCUGACCAAGUGUUGUUACUUUGUAGCAGAUCCAUCAUUCAAGAUGGCCGCCAGCAGGGGACUUAGUUUAACAUAGGACCCUAUGGGAAAUGCAUACAAAUGACUUCUUUUUAGAGAACCACUGAAUGGAAUAAAACUAAACAUUGCAUGAAUGUUCCUUAUGAGGUGCUGACCAAGUGUUGUUACUUUGUAGCCGAACCGCCAUCCAAGAUGGCCGCCAGUGGGGGACUUUUGAAUGAAAUUAAACAUGUUCCUUUCCUUAUCAAUGAGGUUGUGUUGUCACUUUUAG
This 1933-nucleotide long non-coding RNA is filed under the name Mytilus galloprovincialis (Mediterranean mussel). The record is from RNAcentral. Lineage: Eukaryota; Metazoa; Mollusca; Bivalvia; Mytilida; Mytilidae.